GUCUCUCUUGAGUGGAUCCUGAGUACGACGGAGCACGUGAAAUUCCGUCGGAAUCUGGGAGGACCAUCUCCUAAGGCUAAAUACUCUCUAGUGACCGAUAGUGAACCAGUACCGUGAGGGAAAGGUGAAAAGCACCCCGGAAGGGGAGUGAAAUAGAACCUGAAACCGUGUGCUUACAAGUAGUCAGAGCCCGUUAAUGGGUGAUGGCGUGCCUUUUGUAGAAUGAACCGGCGAGUUACGAUUUGAUGCAAGGUUAAGCAGUAAAUGUGGAGCCGUAGCGAAAGCGAGUCUGAAUAGGGCGUUUAGUAUUUGGUCGUAGACCCGAAACCAGGUGAUCUACCCUUGGUCAGGUUGAAGUUCAGGUAACACUGAAUGGAGGACCGAACCGACUUACGUUGAAAAGUGAGCGGAUGAACUGAGGGUAGCGGAGAAAUUCCAAUCGAACCUGGAGAUAGCUGGUUCUCUCCGAAAUAGCUUUAGGGCUAGCCUCAAGUGAUGAUUAUUGGAGGUAGAGCACUGUUUGGACGAGGGGCCCCUCUCGGGUUACCGAAUUCAGACAAACUCCGAAUGCCAAUUAAUUUAACUUGGGAGUCAGAACAUGGGUGAUAAGGUCCGUGUUCGAAAGGGAAACAGCCCAGACCACCAGCUAAGGUCCCAAAAUAUAUGUUAAGUGGAAAAGGAUGUGGCGUUGCCCAGACAACUAGGAUGUUGGCUUAGAAGCAGCCAUCAUUUAAAGAGUGCGUAAUAGCUCACUAGUCGAGUGACACUGCGCCGAAAAUGUACCGGGGCUAAACAUAUUACCGAAGCUGUGGAUUGUCCUUUGGACAAUGGUAGGAGAGCGUUCUAAGGGCGUUGAAGCAUGAUCGUAAGGACAUGUGGAGCGCUUAGAAGUGAGAAUGCCGGUGUGAGUAGCGAAAGACGGG
This 923-nucleotide ribosomal RNA is filed under the name Staphylococcus aureus. Its description in RNAcentral is "partial 23S ribosomal RNA". It matches the Rfam family "Bacterial large subunit ribosomal RNA", at positions 390 to 1321 of the family's 2925-position model. Lineage: Bacteria; Bacillati; Bacillota; Bacilli; Caryophanales; Staphylococcaceae. The record is from RNAcentral.